This 2498-nucleotide long non-coding RNA is filed under the name Homo sapiens (human). Its description in RNAcentral is "HSALNT0316397". The record is from RNAcentral. Lineage: Eukaryota; Metazoa; Chordata; Mammalia; Primates; Hominidae.
AAUAGAGACAGGGUCUUCCUCGCCAUAUUGUCCAGGCUGGUCUUCACAUUUGCACUCAAGCAAUCGGCCCAUCUCAGCCUCCCAAAGUGCUGGGAUUACAUGCAUGAGCCACUUGCACCCAGCCAGGAAAUUCAAUUUUGACAGACUUCAUAAUGGCUCCCUGUGGUUCAAACACUGAUUAAAAUACGGUAAUUUUGAAAUAGCCAAGAUAACAAGCAUAGGUUAGACUAAUGUACAGACUUUUAAAAGUACUUUGAUUAUGGCUUUUAACAUGCGAUUAUAUGAUGAGAAAACAUACAAACUUUAAAAAGCUGCAUACUGAAGUAUAGCAUUCACAAUUUCUAUCCUAAAAUAGCAAAUCCACACCUAACACUAUAAAUCUGGUGCUGUGCUAAGUCUUUAUUAUUUCAUUUCAUCCAACACCAACCUAAUUAUCAUCCCAAUCUGUCUCCCUUUCUGUAGUCCUCCCCAACCUUCUAACUGCUUCCUUUCUAGGCUUUCAUGCUAUCCUAAUCCCUCCUUAGUUCACCCCAACCCUUCUAAAUAAAAACACAACCAUCAGAUAUCAGGUUAGUUUUUUAUUCAUACUAUUUCCUUCCAAAUUAGUGCUUCUGUUCUGACUCUCAUUUUCUCUUGAUAACACAAUUUUAUUGCACAGUACUAUCCCCUAUAUCUCACUUCCUAUAUGAAGAGGUUUUUUUCUUUCUCUUACCAAGGAAUCUGCCUCUGGGGACAGUUCUCAAGUUGUUGACAUCUUCCUAUUAUUCUAUAAAUGAACAUAUUUUUGGGGCUUUUCAAAGUGAAAUAAGUAUGUGUGCAGCAAGGGUGGGUAGAGUAUGGGAUAUGGGUGGGUAGAAGGUACUGGGGAUAGGGUAAACAUGGGUUUUUGUAGGUAAGAAAGAUUGGUAACUAUUAAAUAGAAUUUUUUUCCUGUUCUUUCAGAGAUUGUUAUCACCUCCUAAAGGACAAGGAUAGUUUCUAACUGGCCUUGACCACAGCUUGGGCCAUGCUUAUCUGUAUUCAUUAUUCAGGGACUUUCUAUGAAAUCUAAUCAUUAGUAUUAUAGACCGGUGCAGUGGCUCACGCCUAUAAUCCCAGCACUUUGGGAGGCCGAGGCGGGUGGAUCACCUGAGGUCGGGAGUUUGAGAUCAGCCUGACCAGCACGGAGAAACUGCAUCUCUACUAAAAAUAAAAAAUUAGCCGGGUGUGGUGGAACAUGCCUGUAAUCCCAGCUACUUGGGAAGCUGAGGUAGGAGAAUCACUUGAACCCAGGAGGCGGAGGUUACAGUGAGCUGAUAUCGUGCCACUGCACUCCAGCCUAGGGGACAAGAGCAAGACUCCAUCUCAAGUAAAUAAAUAAAUAAAUAAAUCUCCAAUCAAUCAAUCAAUCUAAUGAUUAGUAUUAUAAUUCAGGUAUGCUCUAGAUCUCCAAGAAUUUAGAAAAUACAAGGCAGAUGUCAACUGUGUGCCUAUAUAUUUAGAUAUCACUUUUAAUAAUAGAAAUGUGGCACACGUAAAACAUUAUUUUAUAUGGGAAGCUAAAAGACUAUUAAAUAUACAGAUUUAUAGAUAUUGUUAGGGCAUAUGUAACCACUAAUAAGGUUUUUUAAAUGUAAUCUUCAGUGCAGAACACCUUACAAAAAAAGCACUUGAAGUUUUGUUGUUGUUGUUUUUUUUUCCUGAGCCAGAGUCUUGCUUUGUCACCCAGACUGGAAUGCAGUGGCAUGAUCUCGGCUUACUGCAACCUCCGCCUCCUGGGUUCAAGCGAUUCUGCUGUCUCAGCCUCCCAAGUAGCUGGGAUUACAGGCACGUGCCACCGUGUCCGGCUAAUUUUUGUUAUUUUUUUUUUUUUUUGAGAUGGAGUCUUGCUCUGUUGGAAUGCAGUGGUGUGAUCUCAGUUCACUGCAACCUCCACCUCCCGGGUUCAAGCAAUUCUCCUGCCUCAGCCUCCCGAGUAGCUGGAAUUAAGAGGCUCCCGCCACCAGGCCCAGCUAAUUUUUGUAUUCUUAGUAGAGAUGGGGUUUCACCAUGUUGGCCAGGCUGGUCUCCCUGACCUCAUAAUCCAUCUGCCUCGGCCUCCCAAAGUGCUGGGAUUAUAGGCGUGAGCCACCACGCCCAGCUGAUAGAAAUUUUAAAGUUAAAAGAUUAUAACUGUCAUUCUGUUACCGAAGUACUAUAUAAAUUACCUUCUCAAACCGAGUUUUUCUAUUCUUUUAAAAGUUAUUAUAAUAUACCCACUGAUCUUUUUAAAACAAACAUGAGCUCAUCAGUCCACUGCUAGAUUUUAUCCUGUGAAGAAGGAGGUAUUUUCCCCUAGAGAUUCAGCAUAGCUCCACUGACACCUUGAGGCUUCUAGCCUCAAGAACUAUAAGACAACAAAUUUCUGUUGUUUGAAGCCACUAACAUGUACUUUGUUACGGCAGCUCUAGGAAACUAAUCCAUCUUUCUAGCCAUAUUGCUUUCCCCACUUACGUAAAGACUAGAAGCCAACUACUUUG